This 1330-nucleotide unclassified non-coding RNA is filed under the name Daphnia magna. RNAcentral describes it as "uPF0676 protein C1494.01, transcript variant X1". The record is from RNAcentral. Lineage: Eukaryota; Metazoa; Arthropoda; Branchiopoda; Diplostraca; Daphniidae.
CACAAGUGCGCAGUUAUUUCCCAGACUGGUCGAAACAAUUCGUCCAAUCAGCUUUAUAUUGCGCGUGCUGCAAAGAUCUGAAAACAAACAAGAGAAAAUGUCCAACGAUAUUCCCAUGGUUGAUCUAGCUGAUAUAGGAUUGCAUCAUUUGGAUAAACCGCGGGAAAGUACCGUUGAUCGAGUAGCCAACGAACUGGAUUCAGCUUUUUCUACCGUUGGAUUUGUUUACCUGAAGAACCACGGCGUCGAACAACAAACGAUUGAUAAUGUAUUUCAAGCUUCCAAAUCGUUUUUUCAAUUACCGGAUGCCAUAAAAGACGUUUACAGAUGUGGUAAGCCUGACAGUGAAUCUGACGGAUACACAGGGAAGGACCAAGAAAUUUUGGAUGUCAGCAGUCUGCAUGAAAUAAGAGAGUCAUACGAUGUUGCUUCACCUGACGGAAUUUAUCCGGAUCAACACGCUCCUGAAUUCCGUAAAGCCAUUAACAAAUUGGCUCCGCAGUUGAGUGAACUCACGACCCGACUUUUAAAAUGCAUGGCUCUUGCCUUAGAUUUGGAGGAGGAUUUCUUUAGUAGCCGUCAUCAGUUCAUGUUCCACGGAGCAGAAAGGAAUCGGACAAUAUUCAGGUCGCUUUACUACCCCACGUUAUCCGACACGGACAUCCAGCCCGGGGUAGUAAGGUGUGGUGCGCAUUCCGAUUAUGGAGCCAUUACUCUUCUUCUCCAAGACGAUAUGGGUGGACUAGAAGUAUUAUCGAAGGGAGAAUGGAUACCUGCCACUCCUAUUCGAGGCACAAUUUUAGUCAAUCUGGGAGAUCUCAUGCAGUUUUGGACGUCUGAUCGUUACGUUGCCACAGUCCAUCGCGUUCUCGUCCCAGAAGAAGAAGUUCGACGUCGUUCCACUCGCCAAUCCAUCGCCUUUUUCGUACAUGCUGAUAACGGUGUAAUGAUUUCACCGAUAGAUGGAUCUGAGAAACAUAUUCCUGUAGAAGCUUUGGCCUACUUGAAAUCUCGCAUAUCUGCUACAUACAAAUGAUUCGCGAAUCUCUAACCCUUCGAAAAUUCGGCUACAAACUAUUUUAGGACAAUCAAGGAAGAAGCACCCAGAAGCAAUCAAUAAAAAAAUACUGUACUUCAAUUGUUUUCCUUUGGGUGCUCGUUUGGCAACGGGCUACAAGCUUUGGCUGAAGCCUGAAGGUAGUGGUAUAAGGCAUUCACUUCUGCAAUUUAAGAAGCACAGACAAAAAUGGCUUCCGUUUUGGGAAAAGUUGUUUCUCGUGGAAUUUCCACAACCCGAGUCGCUUCUGGCCAAGCUGCAGUUUCGGGCCAU